Camelus dromedarius (Arabian camel) is the source of this 2453-nucleotide long non-coding RNA. NCBI's taxonomy places the organism in Eukaryota, Metazoa, Chordata, Mammalia, Artiodactyla, Camelidae. The record is from Ensembl.
UUGGGAAGUGGGAACACUAACACUACUUACUUUCUAAAGUAACUGGGAGGGUUAAGUGUAGUUGUCUGCAGAAAGCAGUCCAGGCGUGCCCGGGAUUCAGUAAGUGUUCUGCAAGCAUCUCCCGCGAUGGUUAUUAUGGCUUUUACCACGAUUCCGAGACACACCCUUGUGGUGUGGAAUCACACCCGCCUCUGAAGUGUGCCCCGUUGCGUUGUGGCCGAUGGGGGUGGAACACAUCAGCGCCGCUGCCGUUUUGGCUAAAACACUCCCCGUGAGACGACACCGCUGGGGCUGGAGGCGCCAACACCCAGCGAUGCUGCAACUCUGCGAUGAUGCCCCCCUCCCACCCCCAGCGCCCAGCCCGCCCCACUGCGUGCUGUGCCCAGGACGGAGUCUCGUGCACGCCGCUAGCCCCGUCCAGACACUCACAGGCCGGCCGGCAGGUACACACCUGCCUGCUUUCCUAGGGAGGGGGGUGUGUACCCGAACACACUGCAGGAGCAGGAUGUGAAGUGUCGCUGAGAAGCCAGGGUACGAAACAGAGUGCUCUGUGCCUGUGUGGCUGCCGCUGUCCCACAGGCCAUCCUGGGGGUACGUCGUAUCUCUAACAUUUGUCAAGCAGCCUGGAAACGGGUUUGAGCCAUCACUGUGUGCAUUUAAGCUGAUUUCAUUCUAGGCGCUUCAUCACAGCAGCUGAUGACCUCAUUUUAAAGAAAGCUUUCCUCUGAGGAGCUUAAGACAUCUUAUAUCCAUUAAGAAUCUCCUCCUGCACCACGCCCCAGAACGCUGUUUGCGCACGCCUGUUUUCGCCUGUGCCCUUCAUUACGGCAGACAGAAAUAGCAGGGAAUUAAAAUGCACGUACAUCCUUGGGGUGGGGAGCCUUGGUUUCCUCCUCCAUCAAACUGUUACCUGGCAGCCAAGUCAGAUUUAAGCUUCCUUACCCUCCACCACCUUUCCACCUGCGAUGGAGGAGGUUAAAGCAAGCAGUGGUUACAUCCAGGAGGAAGAGGUGGAUGGAAAUUAGAGAGACCCUUCCCCCGCCCCCCCGGCCCCCCGCCUGGGUGAGAAGGAAGCCUGGUGCAUCUCAGAAAGUCUCUCCAGUCUCCCUGGCUUUCACUGUCACUUGCAACGUUCAGAAAAUGGAGAUCCAACCACAUGCCUCUGUUUUAUGGUGAGAAAUUACACACACGAGGGCAAGGAAAUAGGAGAUCGGAGGCUCCCACACACCAAGAAUGGUAUAUGUGAACUGGACAUCCCUCAUGGACCAGGACAAUGGAAAGAAAUCUCACAGUUCAGAUGACCUGACAGUGGAAAAGCUGCGAAGGCAUUACUGAAUAAUUCAGAGUAUGGGAGAGGCGGAGGGCGCCCAUCCAAAAUGCUCUCCGCUCCCUCGGAGUUUCUCAGCUGCUCUUUCCCUAAGCAGAAAGGAAAGCUCUUUGAAAGACAAUUAUCUGCUUAGAAAACAUUCAUUUAAAAUGUCUUGCAAUUAUUGACACUCUCAUUAGAUGCUGGCAGACGUACAGUAUCCCUGCCUCCCCUGUGCGCCUGCCACAAGAAGAGUCUCAUCGGUUAGGAGGCAAAAUGGAAUGAAAGUCCAAGGACACGGUGCUUGAACUGCUGCUGUUGUGAAGCUGAUUGCCCCAGGAUUCAGGAAGCCGGGGUCUGUAUUGUUACCCACCUGGCAGCCUGCAUCACUUCUCUCUCUCCCUCCCUCUCUCUCUCUCUCUCUCAGACACUUGAGCUCAGCUGGGCAGUCAUCCAAAUGAGUCACAUUAAAUUCUAGCUAUAUUCAGCACAAAAGUCAUCCAACAUCAGAGGAUCGAAGUUACAUCAACUAAGAAGCACUGGGGAAUUGGUAAGCAGCUAAAAUUAGGUCAUUGCCUAGCCGCGGCUUUUGAUGGAUGAAGUGAAAUUUCGCAGCAGGUUUGCUAUUUAAAGAUCUGUUACAGCAUCCUUUCCUGCAGCCACAAUGAGCACACAACGAAGUAUCAGGCCUCUGAUGAAAUGUUGAAUCAUCACUGCUCGCCCCGCUGUCUGGGGCAGAGAUUUACAAGUUCCUUAAGAGCACGUUCAGUCUCAGGCUGGGCCGCGUAAAUAAAUGCAUUUUAAUUUCCACAUUCAGAGCCCUAAGGGAGGCUCUUUCUUCCUCCUUGGGGUAAAUUCUGUAAAGUUAUUUUAAUCCCUGUGGAAGGAAGGAAGGAAGGAAGGAAGGAAAGGAGGAAGGGAGGGAGGGAGGAUGAAAGGAAAGAAGGAAGGGAGGAAGGAAGCGCAAGAUGGAGUCACUUGUGCUAAGCCACAUGGCAGCAAACUGAGACUUAACACCUAACUUAAAUGCAGUUUCAGCUUCUCCCAGGAAUGUAACCUUUAACCACUCAAUCCAGUAUUCCCUGGUCUGUAGAUUCCUUGUUUUAGUGUCUUUGUUUGACUUGGCAGGAAAAUAAUGGAAGCCUCA